RNA transcript from Cervus elaphus (red deer), 2996 nucleotides. It is a transcript of the gene named adenylate kinase 2, with no coding region annotated. The transcript is spliced from 7 exons. NCBI's taxonomy places the organism in Eukaryota, Metazoa, Chordata, Mammalia, Artiodactyla, Cervidae. The record is from RefSeq and is a predicted model, not a curated record.
GCGUGCGUGGCGCGCUGGCCUGGAAGCUCUGGACCUGAGAGGUGUGCGGGCGAGUUGAGCAGUGAGAGCUUUUGGCGGCCAUGGCUCCCAACGUGCCCGCGCCCGAACCGGUCCCAGAGUCUCCUAAAGGCAUCCGAGCCGUGCUCUUAGGGCCGCCCGGAGCCGGCAAGGGUACCCAGGCACCCAAAUUGGCUGAAAACUUCUGUGUCUGCCAUUUGGCUACUGGAGACAUGCUGAGGGCCAUGGUGGCUUCUGGCUCAGAGCUGGGAAAGAAGCUGAAAGCAACUAUGGAUGCCGGGAAGCUGGUGAGCGAUGAAAUGGUUGUGGAGCUCAUUGAAAAGAAUUUGGAGACCCCUCCAUGCAAAAAUGGUUUUCUUCUAGAUGGCUUCCCUCGGACUGUGAGGCAGGCAGAAAUGCUUGAUGACCUCAUGGAGAAGAGGAAAGAGAAGCUUGAUUCUGUGAUUGAGUUCAGCAUCCCAGACUCUCUGCUCAUCCGGAGAAUCACAGGAAGACUGAUUCACCCCCAGAGUGGCCGCUCGUACCACGAUGAGUUCAACCCCCCAAAGGAACCCAUGAAAGAUGAUAUCACUGGGGAACCCUUGAUCCGCCGAUCAGAUGAUAAUGAGAAGGCCUUGAAAAUCCGUCUGGAGGCCUACCACACUCAAACCACCCCACUGGUGGAGUACUACAGUAAACGGGGGAUCCACUCUGCCAUCGAUGCAUCGCAGACCCCUGACAUCGUGUUUGCAAGCAUCCUAGCAGCCUUCUCCAAAGCCACAUGUAAAGACUUGGUUGUGUUUAUUUAAUGUCGGGUCCAAAAAGGAAUUUCUUUCUUCUUACUUUCCCUGUUGAACAAGUGGGUGGGAAUGGCAGAGUAGGCAGAGAGAAGCUUCCUCAGGCCAGCAAGAAUAUCAUUUGAUGUAUUGAUUAAAAAAGCACUUGCUUCAUGUACCUUUGGCGUGUGUGCAAGUCUCAUCUCAUCUAUGUGUGUGUGUGUGUGCGUGCAUACGUGUGUCAGUAUAUGUACAGUCUCACACUUCCUAAGUUAUAGGAGAGACUGUUUACUUCUUUAGCCGUACUCCUUAUUUUCAACCAAAAUAAACUAACCAGCCAGACAAGUUACCGGGUAUUUUUCCAUCUCCACCAGCUAAUUAGAAGUCCUGGAUCACGUGCAGUCAGGCAGGGCUACAGUUCCUGAUGGCAGGCUGUUGGCCAGAAAUUCCACUUGUUUUCUCACCCAUAAUGAAAAGUCAGCGGGUCAGUGUGUGGAAAGGGAUCAUUAAUUUUUCCCCCCUAAACAGGAAUGAAAAGGCACUUAGAUUCCAGAAAUUACUGAGAGAGGAUAUCACCAUAGACAGAGCCUGGCCAAGUUGAAUUAUUUUUGUGAUCUGCACCAUGGUUCUGUAAAGUAGGAAUCAUUUGGUUCCUGGGUUGAAUACUAAAUUGAUGCCAAAGAAUUAAACCAGGUGAAAGGUCCUCUUGAAUUCAGACUAUCUUGUGAACAUCCAGGCUGGGCAUCUGAGAGCAGCCAGUCCACUUCCCCAAAAACAGCAGGAUAGAUUUGUCUUUAUUUUUAAUGUUUGCUCAGUUUCCAAGUGUGAACAAAAUGGUGAUUUGGGGAUCAUGUUGAUUAGAAUUUAUUCAAGCCCAGUCUCUACAGGAUAUGAAAUCAGAUAUAUCCCUUUUGAACUCAACCCUCUCCCUUCCAUAUCCAGUCCUUCACCCCUUAUGUCAUGACGGUGGUGGCCACAGUCUCCCCAAGAAAGGACCACCCCCAAAAUAAGAUCACCUAUGGCAGUAACCAACUUUUCUUCCUAACCUCAGCUCCCGGCUCUUAGGCAUUUCCUGAGGUCCACGCUGUGCCUUUUGGUCUCUGGUUUGAUCUGUGGCAAACAGAGGAAUUAAUAGACUGCUAUGAGGGACCACAAAAACAGCAGGCUCUGGAAAAACCAUUAAAAAGUCAGUGACAGGUCCAGUAAAUAAUGCCACCUGCCCAGGGUACUCUGCUGACUCAGUGCAGUGGCCUCGGAAGUGCCCAGCCCCCACCUGACCUGAGCUCUCCUGCUGUCUAUGGGACCACCAGAGGGCUUGUCCUCUGUCCGCCUGGAAACUGGCUGCGCCUAGUAACAGAAGGCCAGGCGAGACUGCACCAGUACUCAUCACCCCACGGCAUGAUCCCUGCUCUUAGGUGCUGGGCAGAGGGAGGGGCGGUCAGGGUAAGGAUGGGGAGGGAGGAGCGGCAAGGGCCCAAGAGGGGGAGAGGAGCUGUGCUGCCGUGAUGCAAUUUCUUUUACAUGGAGUAGGACUCUUAAAAGUAUAAGCAAAGGGAAAAAUUAAUUUUUUAAAACACUUGAAUUGAGGGUAUAAAUAGAAACAAGGAGAUACAGUGUUAUUUCUAAGGAAUCAUGUUUUCAUUUACUUUGGACUGGUGACAACUGGACAGGUCUCAGUGCCCAGAGACCUCAGCUUUUAUCAGAACCUCAUGCCAGCCCAGGAAUGCAGGAAAUCACACUAUUGUCCUGUCUGCCCCAUAGCUUGGAACAGGGCGGGAGUUGAUUACUAAUCCUGGUUACCCAUACCAUGAAAUCAGAACGUCAUCUCCACACGUGAAAGAGACAUGGAGUGUGUUCCUGGGGGCAGCAUCUCAACAAAUCCGGCUUACUGGAGUCAUGGGGCAGGCUGGUGUCCCUCCCUUCCAUACUCACCGCUGAUUUACCAGCUUACCUGCCCUCAUGGGUGAGACCUUGGCAGCCACCCAGCAUACGCCACAGUCCGGCACUCUUGCCUUCCUCCAUUCACAUUAUGUGAAAGGACUCUUUUUAAUGAAUGAGCAAGUGUCCUAAGCAACAUUAUCCAAAGACUGCCCUCUCCAUCCUCAAAUCCUAUGACCGGGAUCACUACAACACUGUGAUGUAUUAUUUUCAAUGAGGUGCCUUUCUUAACUGUCCAAAUGCUGCCUUGUUUGGCCCCUAAAUAAAGUGUGUGAAAAGUUUGUA